This 329-nucleotide ribosomal RNA is filed under the name uncultured Thanatephorus. Its description in RNAcentral is "eukaryotic LSU rRNA". Lineage: Eukaryota; Fungi; Basidiomycota; Agaricomycetes; Cantharellales; Ceratobasidiaceae. The record is from RNAcentral.
CGCACAUUGCGCUCCUUGGUAUUCCUUGGAGCAUGCCUGUUUGAGUAUCAUGAAAUAUUCAAAUCAAAAUCUUUUGUUAACUCGAUUGGUUUUUGCUUUGGUCUUGGAGGUUUUUUGCAGCUUCACACCUGCUACCUCUUUGUGCAUUAGCUGGAUCUCUAGUGUUAUGCUUGGUUCCACUCGGCGUGAUAAAUUAUCUAGUCGCUGAGGACACUGUAAAAAGUGGCCAAGGUAAAUGUCAGAUGAACUGCUUCCAAUAGUCCAUUGACUUGGACAAAUAUCUUUUAUGAUCUGAUCUCAAAUCAGGUAGGACUACCCGCUGAACUUAA